ACGGAGGGGACUAGCGUUGUUCGGAAUUACUGGGCGUAAGGCGCACGUAGGCGGAUCAGCAAGUUAGGGGUGAAAUCCCGGGGCUCAACCCCGGAACUGCCUCUAAAACUGUUGGUCUUGAGUUCGAGAGAGGUGAGUGGAAUUCCGAGUGUAGAGGUGGAAUUCGUAGAUAUUCGGAGGAACACCAGUGGCGAAGGCGGCUCACUGGCUCGAUACUGACGCUGAGGUGCGAAAGUGUGGGGAGCAAACAGGA
Molecule: ribosomal RNA, 253 nt
Filed under: uncultured prokaryote
Description: partial 16S ribosomal RNA
Rfam family: Bacterial small subunit ribosomal RNA
Source: RNAcentral